CUGCUCCCCUCACACCCCAUCUAGCCAAUCGGAUGCAGGUCCGAUUUACCUUCUCUGCGAUAGGUUCACUGGCUGGCUCUCACUCAGGAGAAAAUAAUUUAACAUUUAGGCCUAAAUUAAACUCUUUUUUUCUCCCAGAAAAGAAAAAAAAGACUUUUCUCUCUUUUUCUUAAAACAACAUGGACGCCAGACCUGUCAACCUGGCCCUGCUCGCUCAGACCCCUGUAACCAGCUACAGAGCUUCCGCGACACCAGCGCAACUCACACGAAUGCAUCUUUGUAGGGUUCAGCCAGCACCGGCUAACCCAAUGUAGGACAGAAUCCGUCUCAGCUCCGGCGGAUUUUGGGGCUAUGCCUUCAGCCUCAGAGAGAGCGAAAUCUAUUUCUAUCAGCUAAAAGCAGGUGAAAGUUUUGGCCCGCUGACACCUCGGAUUGCCUUUACUUCGUCUGAUUGGGGUGUUUUGAGCCUCAUCGCGACGCCCGAAGUGCAGAAGAGCCUGCGGGAAACGAGCUCGCAACAACCACGAACCAGGGAUCAACGACAACUGCCGUCGCUUUCGCUAUGUGCAUAUCACUCGGCUCGCGCGGGGCGCUGGAGCCUAUCCCACGUACAAUAUACUUUAAAAAUAUUUUACUCCCGUAAAAGUUUAUACAUUACAUGUCUACAUCACCUAUCAUCUCCUCAUCAGGUAUCUCAUAUCAUCGUGUUAUUGUUAUGUUAUGCUCCUUUGAUAUUUUGCUAGUUUGCGUGUUUUAAAACUCUUUUUGUUUUUCUUUAUAUUUUUAGACUCUGAUUUAAGCCAGAUGUGUUAACCUGAUCCCUGCGAAACACCAGCUCUGCGUGGAUUUUGACCGCGAGUGACCGGAUGUUGUUUCCGGCCUGAGGUUGCCUGAAAUGCCGUGAGGCUCGUUUGAAAGAUUGCGCCCGAGACCAACUCCGCCUCCAAGGCGUGCCUACCUUUAGCUGCCACCAGUGAGAUAUCAGAGCCGGGCUCCACAUAUCCAAUCAGGAGCACGAGGAAGACAGCUUUUGCAGACUCUCCAGAAAUAUACAAAUCCUUACCAACUGCUCUGCAACCCAGUGUUUCUGGUCCCCUCACUAACAUCGCUUUUUGAGAUAUUUUUUAUGAACCACCCAAAGAGCCAUUUUACCCCCCAGUACAGAAGACUGGAUCUGAGGGCAGCAGCAGCGGGGACAAAUGCUUGUAAUGAAGCGACGGACAUUUCAUGGCUGAUCUUAGAUAAUCGUGAGUUAUUGUGUCUUAUGGUGAAAAGUAGUUUUGCAAGAGGCAUGCAAGCACUGUGGAAAAGUAAUCGUGUGUAAGUCCUCUAAAACUGUUUUUUGUGAACACUUUGCUCCCCACGUUAUGCUUUAAAAAAUUUGAUACAUGUAAUGUGAUCAUCAAAGAACAUGAGUUUUUAAAAAGACUUUUAUUCUUAUGCUUUUAAAACUAUGUCAGAUUAUCAUAAAACACUUAUUUGUAUGUUAUAAUGUUUUUCUUACACCAUGUGUAAUUUUUAUAGACACCUUGUUCAUUGUAUCAAUGUGUAAUUAUGUAUCUUUGAUAAAUAAAUAAAAUAUUUAAUCUUG
This is a long non-coding RNA of Oreochromis niloticus (Nile tilapia), 1591 nucleotides long. RefSeq lists it as uncharacterized. The transcript has 2 exons. NCBI's taxonomy places the organism in Eukaryota, Metazoa, Chordata, Actinopteri, Cichliformes, Cichlidae. The record is from RefSeq and is a predicted model, not a curated record.